This 506-nucleotide long non-coding RNA is filed under the name Suricata suricatta (meerkat). RNAcentral's name for it is "lncRNA (ENSSSUG00005017039.1)". The record is from RNAcentral. Lineage: Eukaryota; Metazoa; Chordata; Mammalia; Carnivora; Herpestidae.
AAAGUUACAGGGGGUGGAUCUGGGCUUACCAUCCACACUGCCGUCCAGCCCCAAGAAUUGUUCAAACUGCCUUAAUAUUUUGCUCUCAGAUAUCUCAAGAUUUUGCCUUUGAGGUACUCUGUACUGGAAUAUGGAGCAGGAGGAGCUGAUGGGAGUGGGAGCUAUGAAUGAGCGAGGCUUUGACUUAACUGCAGAAGAGAAGGGGGCCUUGUGGCAGGAACCGAGCACUAUAGAGAAGCAGCGCCACCUUGUGGCUAGUUGAGAGGCUGCAGCAGAAUGAGCAAAGAGUCCUAGAAAGAAGCUAUGGCCCCCGGGAUCCAGCCACAACAAACACAACAAAUAGGAACCAGAAGUCAGUCUAUAUGAACAGGUUAUAUCUUGUGUUAAAUAACAGUAUAAAUUGUUGCCAGGAAUGGAAGGACCAGCCACAUCAUAAACAUGACAUUGUUCCAGUCCCUAAGACUCCACAUUUGCAAUCGGAGAUGGGUUCACACUUUGGAAUCUGA